This is a long non-coding RNA of Puntigrus tetrazona (Sumatra barb), 406 nucleotides long. RefSeq lists it as uncharacterized. Lineage: Eukaryota; Metazoa; Chordata; Actinopteri; Cypriniformes; Cyprinidae. The record is from RefSeq and is a predicted model, not a curated record. The transcript is spliced from 4 exons.
GGGGAUAUCUUACUGCAAUUGCCUCUGUUUCUUUAGACUGGCAGGAACGCAGGGGGUCAGCUCUGGCCUGAGGUGGAUGGAAGUUUGUCGGUGCCGUAUGAAAUCGAUUUGACUCUUAAGGGCAGGACUAAAGACAUUCUUGAUGCCUUCGAUAUGAUUUCUGAGAAGACUUGUGUAAAAUUCCAUCGGCAUGCUAAAGAAACCGACUAUUUGCGCUUUGAGGAAGGAAGUGGGUGUGCGUCUUACGUUGGAUGUAUCGGGGGCGAGCAGUCUGUUAUGGUCGGCCCGAAAUGUAAUGUCGGGAACAUCUGCCACGAGAUCAUUCAUUCCCUCGGCUUUCAUCACGAGCAUACCCGAUUCGAUCGUGAUGAUCACGUCAUUAUACUUGAUGAAAACAUCAUCUCCG